RNAcentral lists this transfer RNA (72 nucleotides) under Patescibacteria group bacterium. Its description in RNAcentral is "tRNA-Arg". It matches the Rfam family "tRNA". Rfam says of the family: Transfer RNA (tRNA) molecules are approximately 80 nucleotides in length. Their secondary structure includes four short double-helical elements and three loops (D, anti-codon, and T loops). The record is from RNAcentral.
GCCCUCGUAGUUCAACGGAUAGAACAGUCCCGUCCUAAGGGAUUGAUGUGGGUUCAAUUCCUGCCGAGGGCA